This 497-nucleotide ribosomal RNA is filed under the name uncultured bacterium. RNAcentral describes it as "partial 16S ribosomal RNA". It matches the Rfam family "Bacterial small subunit ribosomal RNA", at positions 28 to 507 of the family's 1533-position model. The record is from RNAcentral.
GACGAACGCUGGCGGCGUGCCUAAUACAUGCAAGUAGAACGCUGAAGCUUGGUGCUUGCCCCGAGCGGAUGAGUUGCGAACGGGUGAGUAACGCGUAGGUAACCUGCCUGGUAGCGGGGGAUAACUAUUGGAAACGAUAGCUAAUACCGCAUAACAGUAGAUAUCGCAUGAUAGCUACUUGAAAGGUGCAAAUGCACCACUACCAGAUGGACCUGCGUUGUAUUAGCUAGUUGGUGAGGUAACGGCUCACCAAGGCAACGAUACAUAGCCGACCUGAGAGGGUGAUCGGCCACACUGGGACUGAGACACGGCCCAGACUCCUACGGGAGGCAGCAGUAGGGAAUCUUCGGCAAUGGACGGAAGUCUGACCGAGCAACGCCGCGUGAGGGAAGAAGGUUUUCGGAUCGUAAAGCUCUGUUGUAAGAGAAGAACGAGUGUGAGAGUGGAAAGUUCACACUGUGACGGUAUCUUACCAGAAAGGGACGGCUAACUACGUG